CGCUAUUUGCCAGCCCAUUUCCGAAGACCUCGCCGCCUUCUACCAAAUGUUCAUUGACGUGCGAUGGGGUGGUGGCAACAUAGAAUUAAAAAAAGAGGUUUUUUUUUUGUUAAUCGUCAUUACUGCUACUAAAAUUUAAGAGGACUUUUGAUUUUUUCUUUUUCCAUAAACCUAAUUUAAUUCCUCUUUUGUUUUUUCUCUCUUAUUUUUUUUUUUUUUUGUUUUGCCGUGAUUUGCUUAUCAUGUAGCAAUUCCUGAUUGAAUAUGGGUCUCUGAUGGAGCUGCAAGUCAAUGUUGAGGUUUUUGUUUUACCACUUCUUUGUUGUCCUUUUUUAUUUGAUGGGAAUUUUUUUUAUUCAAAUAGUUUAAAAGUGGAUUUAGAUAGUUACAUAGUUGAUUAUGUUAAUUUGGUUGUGGAGUAAGUUAAUUUUGUAUUAGAUUUUGAUAACUUUGUAGUGAAUUUUGAUAAUUGGAUUUCGAUAACUUUAUAGUGAAUUUCGAUAACAUUUGAGUGGAUUUUAAGUUGCUUGGAAAGGGAAAUGUUUUGAAUGAAUUGAAUUGACAUGUUUUUGAUUUAUUAUCCUUGUUUCUUCUUUUUUUUUUUUUUAUUUAACAACUGAUUUUUGUUCUUUUAAUUUUGAUAAUGUUUUUGUUCUGGAUGAUACUUAUGACGAAAUUGCUGAUGGGAGGAAGAAGAUGAUGAUUUUUUCAAAUAGUGGUUUACGUUUCAAAUAACGAGAAGAAGAUGAUUACACGGACUAUGCUCUAGGGUUCAUUGGAGAGAAGAUGGUGUCCUUUAUAGUGGUUUUAUAGCUUUUUUUUC
Molecule: long non-coding RNA, 823 nt
Filed under: Erythranthe guttata (spotted monkey flower)
Lineage: Eukaryota; Viridiplantae; Streptophyta; Magnoliopsida; Lamiales; Phrymaceae
Description: long non-coding RNA (EGUT_LNC000037)
Source: RNAcentral